AGUGAGCGGCAAAAGCUCAAUUUGAAUCUAGCACCUUCGGUGUUCGAGUUGUAAUUUGAAGAUGGUAACCUUGGGUUUGGCUCUUGUCUAUGUUCCUUGGAACAGGACGUCAUAGAGGGUGAGAAUCCCGUCUGAUGAGAUGCCCAUUCCUAUGUAAGGUGCUAUCGAAGAGUCGAGUUGUUU
This 183-nucleotide ribosomal RNA is filed under the name uncultured Wickerhamomyces. Its description in RNAcentral is "partial 26S ribosomal RNA". It matches the Rfam family "Eukaryotic large subunit ribosomal RNA", at positions 92 to 275 of the family's 3401-position model. Lineage: Eukaryota; Fungi; Ascomycota; Saccharomycetes; Phaffomycetales; Phaffomycetaceae. The record is from RNAcentral.